GGGGGUUGGUGCCGCAAGGUGCCAGCAACCGGCGAACGGGUGCGUAACACGUGAGCGACCUACCGAGGUGCGGGGGAUAGCCGGCCCAACGGCCGGGUAAUACCGCAUACGUUCCUUUGGGGGCAUCCCUGGGGGAGGAAACCUGCUGGGUUACACCAGUGGGGCAGCUCGAGGGGCUCGCGGCCUAUCAGCUAGUUGGCGGGGUAACGGCCCACCAAGGCGAUGACGGGUAGCUGGUCUGAGAGGAUGGCCAGCCACAUUGGGACUGAGAGACGGCCCAGACUCCUACGGGAGGCAGCAGUGGGGAAUCUUGCGCAAUGGCCGAAAGGCUGACGCAGCGACGCCGCGUGGAGGAUGACGCCCUUCGGGGUGUAAACUCCUGUUGCCCGGGACGAACGCCCUUUUGGAAGGGCCUGACGGUACCGGGUGAGGAAGCACCGGCUAACUCUGUGCCAGCAGCCGCGGUAAUACAGAGGGUGCGAGCGUUGUCCGGAAUCACUGGGCGUAAAGGGCGCGUAGGUGGUCGGGUAAGCGUGUGGUGAAAGCCCGGGGCUCAACCCCGGGUCGGCCAUGCGAACUGCCCGACUGGAGCAUGGUAGAGGCCAAUGGAAUUCCGGGUGUAGCGGUGGAAUGCGUAGAGAUCCGGAAGAACACCGGUGGCGAAGGCGGUUGGCUGGGCCAUGGCUGACACUGAGGCGCGACAGCGUGGGGAGCAAACAGGAUUAG
RNAcentral lists this ribosomal RNA (726 nucleotides) under uncultured Gemmatimonadota bacterium. RNAcentral's name for it is "bacterial SSU rRNA". It matches the Rfam family "Bacterial small subunit ribosomal RNA", at positions 66 to 781 of the family's 1533-position model. The record is from RNAcentral. Lineage: Bacteria; Pseudomonadati; Gemmatimonadota.